GAUGAACGCUGGCGGCGUGCCUAAUACAUGCAAGUCGAGCGAACAGACGAGGAGCUUGCUCCUCUGACGUUAGCGGCGGACGGGUGAGUAACACGUGGAUAACCUACCUAUAAGACUGGGAUAACUUCGGGAAACCGGAGCUAAUACCGGAUAAUAUAUUGAACCGCAUGGUUCAAUAGUGAAAGACGGUUUUGCUGUCACUUAUAGAUGGAUCCGCGCCGCAUUAGCUAGUUGGUAAGGUAACGGCUUACCAAGGCGACGAUGCGUAGCCGACCUGAGAGGGUGUUCGGCCACACUGGAACUGUGACACGGUCCAGACUCCUACGGGAGGCAGCAGUAGGGAAUCUUCCGCAAUGGGCGAAAGCCUGACGGAGCAACGCCGCGUGAGUGAUGAAGGUCUUCGGAUCGUAAAACUCUGUUAUUAGGGAAGAACAAAUGUGUAAGUAACUAUGCACGUCUUGACGGUACCUAAUCAGAAAGCCACGGCUAACUACGUG
RNAcentral lists this ribosomal RNA (497 nucleotides) under uncultured bacterium. RNAcentral describes it as "partial 16S ribosomal RNA". It matches the Rfam family "Bacterial small subunit ribosomal RNA", at positions 28 to 507 of the family's 1533-position model. The record is from RNAcentral.